CCUGGUGGCUUAGAUGGUAAAGAAUCUACCUGCAAUGCAGGAGACCCAGGUUCAAGCCCUGGGUCAGGA
This 69-nucleotide transfer RNA is filed under the name Bos taurus (domestic cattle). It matches the Rfam family "tRNA". From Rfam's summary of the family: Transfer RNA (tRNA) molecules are approximately 80 nucleotides in length. Their secondary structure includes four short double-helical elements and three loops (D, anti-codon, and T loops). The record is from Rfam by way of RNAcentral. RNAcentral also lists the same sequence under 5 other names. Lineage: Eukaryota; Metazoa; Chordata; Mammalia; Artiodactyla; Bovidae.